This 681-nucleotide ribosomal RNA is filed under the name uncultured bacterium. Its description in RNAcentral is "bacterial SSU rRNA". It matches the Rfam family "Bacterial small subunit ribosomal RNA", at positions 9 to 691 of the family's 1533-position model. The record is from RNAcentral.
GAGUUUGAUCAUGGCUCAGGAUGAACGCUAGCGGCAGGCUUAACACAUGCAAGUCGAGGGGUAUAGUUCUUCGGAAUUAGAGACCGGCGCACGGGUGCGUAACGCGUAUGCAAUCUACCUUUCACAGAGGGAUAGCCCAGAGAAAUUUGGAUUAAUACCUCAUAGUAUAACGACUCCGCAUGGAGAUGUUAUUAAAGUCACAACGGUGAAAGAUGAGCAUGCGUCCCAUUAGCUAGUUGGUAAGGUAACGGCUUACCAAGGCUACGAUGGGUAGGGGUCCUGAGAGGGAGAUCCCCCACACUGGUACUGAGACACGGACCAGACUCCUACGGGAGGCAGCAGUGAGGAAUAUUGGACAAUGGGCGCAAGCCUGAUCCAGCCAUGCCGCGUGCAGGAUGACGGUCCUAUGGAUUGUAAACUGCUUUUGCACAGGAAGAAACAACGCUACGUGUAGCGUCUUGACGGUACUGUGAGAAUAAGGAUCGGCUAACUCCGUGCCAGCAGCCGCGGUAAUACGGAGGAUCCAAGCGUUAUCCGGAAUCAUUGGGUUUAAAGGGUCCGUAGGCGGUUUAGUAAGUCAGUGGUGAAAGCCCAUCGCUCAACGGUGGAACGGCCAUUGAUACUGCUAGACUUGAAUUAUUAGGAAGUAACUAGAAUAUGUAGUGUAGCGGUGAAAUGCUU